This 323-nucleotide ribosomal RNA is filed under the name Staphylococcus aureus. Its description in RNAcentral is "partial 23S ribosomal RNA". It matches the Rfam family "Bacterial large subunit ribosomal RNA", at positions 216 to 535 of the family's 2925-position model. The record is from RNAcentral. Lineage: Bacteria; Bacillati; Bacillota; Bacilli; Caryophanales; Staphylococcaceae.
GAAGAGAAAGAAAAUUCGAUUCCCUUAGUAGCGGCGAGCGAAACGGGAAGAGCCCAAACCAACAAGCUUGCUUGUUGGGGUUGUAGGACACUCUAUACGGAGUUACAAAGGACGACAUUAGACGAAUCAUCUGGAAAGAUGAAUCAAAGAAGGUAAUAAUCCUGUAGUCGAAAAUGUUGUCUCUCUUGAGUGGAUCCUGAGUACGACGGAGCACGUGAAAUUCCGUCGGAAUCUGGGAGGACCAUCUCCUAAGGCUAAAUACUCUCUAGUGACCGAUAGUGAACCAGUACCGUGAGGGAAAGGUGAAAAGCACCCCGGAAGGG